RNAcentral lists this long non-coding RNA (496 nucleotides) under Mytilus galloprovincialis (Mediterranean mussel). Lineage: Eukaryota; Metazoa; Mollusca; Bivalvia; Mytilida; Mytilidae. The record is from RNAcentral.
CUUCCUUUUGUAGUCAUUAACAUUGUGUUUAAAUUUCAUUGAUUUCUAUUUACUUAAACUAAAGUUAUUGUGCGAAAACCAAGAAUAAUGCUUAUUUGGGCCCUUUUUUGGCCCCUAAUUCCUAAACUGUUGAAACCAAAACUCCCAAAAUCAAUCCCAACCGUUCUUUUGUGGUCAUAAACCUUGUGUUAAAAUUUCAUAGAUUUCUAUUAACUUAAACUAAAGUUAUAGUGCGAAAACCAAGAAAAUGCUUAUUUGGGCCCUUUUUGGCCCCUAGUUCCUAAAAUGUUGGGACCAAAACUCCCAAAAUCAAUACCAACCUUCCUUUUGUGGUCAUAAACCUUGUGUUAAAAUUUCAUAGAUUUCCAUUCACUUUUACUAAAGUUAGAGUGCGAAAACUAAAAGUAUUCGGACGACGACGACGACGCCAACGUGAUAGCAAUAUACGACGAAAAAAUUUUCAAAUUUUGCGGUCGUAUAAAAAGUAAAGUUGAUA